RNAcentral lists this ribosomal RNA (292 nucleotides) under uncultured bacterium. RNAcentral describes it as "partial 16S ribosomal RNA". It matches the Rfam family "Bacterial small subunit ribosomal RNA", at positions 505 to 796 of the family's 1533-position model. The record is from RNAcentral.
GUGCCAGCAGCCGCGGUAAUACGUAGGAUCCAAGCGUUGUCCGGAUUUACUGGGUGUAAAGGGUGCGCAGGCGGACUUGUUAGUCAGGGGUGAAAUCUCACAGCUUAACUGUGAAACUGCCUUUGAUACUGCAAGUCUUGAAUUGGGGAGAGAGUUGUGGAAUUCCGAGUGUAGCAGUGAAAUGUGUAGAUAUUCGGAAGAACACCAGUGGCGAAGGCAGCAACUUGGCCCCAGAUUGACGCUCAGGCACGAAAGCAUGGGGAUCAAACAGGAUUAGAUACCCUGGUAGUCC